UGGGGAAUAUUGGACAAUGGGCGAAAGCCUGAUCCAGCCAUGCCGCGUGUGUGAAGAAGGUCUUCGGAUUGUAAAGCACUUUAAGUUGGGAGGAAGGGUUGUAGAUUAAUACUCUGCAAUUUUGACGUUACCGACAGAAUAAGCACCGGCUAACUCUGUGCCAGCAGCCGCGGUAAUACAGAGGGUGCAAGCGUUAAUCGGAAUUACUGGGCGUAAAGCGCGCGUAGGUGGUUUGUUAAGUUGGAUGCGAAAGCCCCGGGCUCAACCUGGGAACUGCAUUCAAAACUGACUGACUAGAGUAUGGUAGAGGGUGGUGGAAUUUCCUGUGUAGCGGUGAAAUGCGUAGAUAUAGGAAGGAACACCAGUGGCGAAGGCGACCACCUGGACUGAUACUGACACUGAGGUGCGAAAGCGUGGGGAGCAAACAGGAUUAGAUACCCCUGUAGUCCUGAGCGGGCUGGCAAGGCGCAU
Molecule: ribosomal RNA, 471 nt
Filed under: uncultured bacterium
Lineage: Bacteria
Description: bacterial SSU rRNA
Rfam family: Bacterial small subunit ribosomal RNA
Source: RNAcentral